This is a long non-coding RNA of Cygnus atratus (black swan), 1055 nucleotides long. RefSeq lists it as uncharacterized. The transcript is spliced from 2 exons. The record is from RefSeq and is a predicted model, not a curated record. Lineage: Eukaryota; Metazoa; Chordata; Aves; Anseriformes; Anatidae.
UUUUGUAGAGAUAGUAGAGACAGUUGUGGGCAGAAUGAGAAGCAGAAGGGUAGGACUUACCCUCCACUUUAUGUAACAGCUGCCCCUUUGAGUCACAGGAUAGGGCUGUCCCUCAAAGCACUUUCCUUACAAAACACAACCUUCCAUCUAGAAGCAGUUGUAUCAGUCAGGAGACAGAGCUACAACAGCUGAUCCUGGGCUCCAGGGAGUACUGUCAUCUGCCUUAAGAUUUUACAGCAGGGUGAGGAAGAGACACAGAAUAUGAAGACUAUAACCUGAAGAUUUCCACUAAUGGAAAAUCUAAUUUGGACUGGUCCAAAUUAGGACCCUCGGCUGUUAGACCAUGCAUACAAAAUUUAAUUUUCCUUUAAAGAAGAAUUUAUGUUUCUACCUAAAUCAAUAGCAACUAAUGUUUCUCUGCCAAAGUUGUAGUAACCAAUGACAAAUAAAUAUUCAGUUGUUACUGGAGAAGUCUUCAAUCAACUAUCAUCUGUAUUCACACUCAGCAGUCAGAAGUAGGGUUAUAGUUUACAUCUGUAGAACUGGAGUACUGCAGAGGUUUGGAAAAGCUGUCACUGGAAAUGUUUACCGCAAAUAUCAUUGUCUUGAACAUCGUUAUCCUCUGUCAUCCUGAAAGCUACAACGGAUGCAGAACUAGGAGAGAAAGUAGUGCUUCUUCCAUCAGAAAUAUAUCACAUCGAGAUGUCAAGUUUGGCAGUGAGAAAACUGGAAUGGGUAUAUGGAAAACAUUUCUUCUUUAAGCCGACAAAAGUUGCAUUUGGUUAAAAUAUUGUGUGUUAAUCUGAAUCAUUCAAAUGGUUCCUUUGGUUUUACUUAUUCAGCUACAGAAUUUGGACUUCUGGGUCAGCUUCAAAGUUGACUAAUUGGACAACAUAUUUCAAAGGUUAUGACAUUCCCUUUAUUUGUCUUGGGCAUGACUCUGCAAAUGAAACAAAAAGGAAUUUCUUGACACUCUGUAGGCUAAGCUUUAAACAGGUUCUUUCUUACUUGUAUGCAUUUUAUUUCUCAUGCAAUAAAAGAAAAUGUCCACUGUU